Molecule: ribosomal RNA, 1436 nt
Filed under: metagenome
Description: bacterial LSU rRNA
Rfam family: Bacterial large subunit ribosomal RNA
Source: RNAcentral
AAACCGACUUCAGUUGAAAAUGGAGCGGAUGACCUGUGGAUAGGGGUGAAAGGCCAAUCAAACUCGGUGAUAGCUGGUUCUCCGCGAAAUGCAUUUAGGUGCAGCGUCGUGCGUUCAACGAUGGGGGUAGAGCACUGAAUGGGCUAGGGGUCCUACAAGACUACCGACCCCAAUCAAACUCCGAAUACCAUCGUUCCAGAGCACGUCAGUGAGACCUCGGGGGAUGAGCUUCGAGGUCGAGAGGGAAACAGCCCAGACCGCCGGCUAAGGUCCCAAAAUCUGAACUAAGUGGUAAACGAUGUGAGAUUGCGAAGACAGCCAGGAGGUUGGCUUGGAAGCAGCCAUCCUUGAAAGAGUGCGUAACAGCUCACUGGUCGAGUGAUCUUGCGCGGACAAUGUAACGGGGCUCAAGUUCAGUACCGAAGCCGCGGAUGCGACUCUUUGAGUCGUGUGGUAGCGGAGCGUCGAGCGUGCAGCGAAGCGGCGGGACAACCCAGCCGUGGAGCGCGUUCGAGUGCGAAUGUUGGCAUGAGUAGCGAAUGAUGGGUGAGAACCCCCUCCGCCGUAUGUCCAAGGGUUCCUGGGCGAGGCCAAUCCUCCCAGGGUGAGUCGGGAGCUAAGGCGAGGCCGAGAGGCGUAGUCGAUGCACAACUGGUUGAUAUUCCAGUACCACCAUGUUCGCGUCCGUCCCAAUACUCUGUUGCUAAGGGGCUGUGUUGACUUCGGUCAACGCGAACCGACCCACAUUGUUGCGGGAAGCUGUAGGGGGACGCAGGAAGGUAGAUGAACCCGGUGAAUGGUAGAACCGGGGUAAGCGUGUAGGAGGAGGACCAGGUAAAUCCGGGCCUCAUAAACUCUGAGACGUGAUACCGAGCCGCUUCAGGCGAAGUCAUUGAUCCUAUGCUGCCUAGAAAAGCCCAGCAGCGAGUUGACAUGGUGCCCGUACCCCAAACCAACACAGGUGGACAGGUAGGGCAUACCAAGGCGAGUGGGAUAACUAUGGUUAAGGAACUCGGCAAAUUGCCUCCGUAACUUCGGGAGAAGGAGGACCCCAGUAGCGUGAUGAGACUUGCUCUCUGAGCGUGAAGGGGUGGCACAAAAUUGAGGGAAGCGACUGUUUACCAAAAACACAGCAGCGUGCUAAGCCGUAAGGCGCUGUAUACGCUGUGACUCCUGCCCGGUGCUGGAAGAUUACGGGGAUGGGUUAGUCCUUCGGGACGAAGCUCUGAACCUAAGCCCCAGUAAACGGCGGCCGUAACUAUAACGGUCCUAAGGUAGCGAAAUUCCUUGUCGGGUAAGUUCCGACCUGCACGAAUGGAGUAACGACUUCCCUACUGUCUCAACCAUAGACCCAGCGAAAUUGAAGUACGAGUAAAGAUGCUCGUUAGCUGCAGAAGGACGGAAAGACCCCGUGGACCUUUACUAUAACUUGAUGU